RNAcentral lists this ribosomal RNA (255 nucleotides) under uncultured bacterium. Its description in RNAcentral is "partial 16S ribosomal RNA". It matches the Rfam family "Bacterial small subunit ribosomal RNA", at positions 524 to 776 of the family's 1533-position model. The record is from RNAcentral.
UACAGAGGUCUCAAGCGUUGUUCGGAUUCAUUGGGCGUAAAGGGUGCGUAGGUGGCGCCGUAAGUCAGGUGUGAAAUUUCGGAGCUUAACUCCGAAACUGCAUUUGAUACUGCGGUGCUUGAGGACUGGAGAGGAGACUGGAAUUCCUGGUGUAGCGGUGAAAUGCGCAGAUAUCAGGAGGAACACCGGUGGCGAAGGCGGGUCUCUGGGCGAACAACGUGACGCUGAGGAGCGAAAGCGUGGGGAGCGAACAGG